Chenopodium quinoa (quinoa) is the source of this 3241-nucleotide RNA transcript. RefSeq lists it as uncharacterized. The record is from RefSeq and is a predicted model, not a curated record. The transcript is spliced from 4 exons. NCBI's taxonomy places the organism in Eukaryota, Viridiplantae, Streptophyta, Magnoliopsida, Caryophyllales, Amaranthaceae.
AUAUUAGGGUUUCACACUUCACUAUCCUUAGCCGUCAAACCUCCCAUUUUUUCUCUCUCCUCUUAAUUAUCUCACUCAAUCUCAGCUCGCUCUCUUCUCCGAUUCACCUCAAUCCAUUCACUCAAUCUCCUCCAUUUCACCACCCUAAUUCCCAAAGUUCCCCUCUUUCUCUUUUCUCUAAAUUGCAUCAAUGGCGGAGGACCCAAUUUAGAAUGUCUUUUGAACGAAUCUCGUUACUUAGAAGUGAAUAUGGGGGUGAUGAUUCAGGGUCAAGAACAUUGCAGUUAUGGGUGUUUAUAUCUCUUCGAUUUUUUCAAGCAAAUUAGAUUGGAGAAACCCGCUUCUUCUUUAAGAGAAAGUGAACAAAACCCUAGUUUUUUGCCCUAAUUUCACCGCCUCAAUAUCCCUUUUUUCUGCUCAUUCAAACCCUAAGCUUUUGAAGCAGAAUCGCCACUCUCUUGUGUACGAUUUUGAUGAUAGAUGCGGUUCCUCAACGAAGUUUUCUUUGUGAGAAGGGAAGAAUGUUUAGGUGUCUGAGAAUCGCCGGUGAUUGCUGGUCAGAAUAAGGGGCUUCUAAUUAUUUGGAUGAUAGUGGUAGGGAUGAUGAUUCCGAUGUCGAAAAUGACUCUACAAUUACAAAGGCGGAAUCGAAGAAAAUUGACGAUGAUUCGGAAGCCGUAACUUCUGAUUUCUACAUGGAAAAAGGAACAACAUUAAAGAUACCAGAGGUGUUUAAGCAGUACAAAGAUGUACGUGAGUUAAAUUAUUUAGUGACCACCAGGAAGCUUAUCCUUGAUCUUUUCCAUAAUUCCUUUAUUCUCUCCGUUAAUUCACAUCUUGGUUAGUCUAAUUUGAGUUUCAAUUUUUACUUAAUUAUCUCAUUUUUUUUGUUGAACAUUGAAGUUUAUGAUUUAUAAUUUGGCUUAAAGUUUGGUUUAUUUGAUUAUGUUAUUGAUAAGAAAAUGUUGUUUAUAGGAUUUUGUUGCAACUAAUUGGUGUUGUCAGAUUUGAAUUUGAUGGAAUAUAGUUACAAACUUAUUACAAUUGAGUUGUUGUUGAGUUGGUUGAUAUGUUUUCUAGUUUUAGUUGGCAUUGGAAAAGAUGCAACUUUUGUUGAGGUUGCCGAAUUCAUCUUGACAUUUGAUUAGUGUAAGGUCUUGGAGCGGCGGUUUCCUAAAAAGUUGAAAUAUUACAAGUGGAAACAAGCUUUUUCGCUUGUCUUAUCCUUCGAUUUUGAAUGUUAGUAGUGAAGGCCAAUGUAUGGGCACGAUAAAGAAGUCAAAUGAUGUAUUGAGAACAGGCUCUUCUUGAUUAUGAGAGAUACAAGACAAGUAGUGAUGGCUCUAGCAUUCUCAGUUCACUUGCUGUGCCUAUCGGAGCUGAAAAUCAGGUUUGUAAAAUUGUAAAGCUAAUCAAAUGUGUUUGUUUCUAAUACUUGUAUUUGUCUUAUCUAACAUGUCACCACUGUAACAUUUGGCCAUAAGAAUAUGGGAAAACCCACUUGUAUGUGAUAUCUAAUAUGUUUCUGAAUGGUUGUCCUCAACACCUGGACCUACUUCUUCGUGGGUGGCUGUUUUUGUAACAUAUAUAUUUCAUUCAUAAAUGAUCCUUUGCAACUUUCUAGUAAUAUCUGAUUUAAAAUUUUUUAUUGGCAAUAUAAGUUUAUAAAGAACAACAAUCUGCUGUUAUUGCUGUUGCUGAAACAGUUUCGAAUUAUGAGCAAACGAGAGAGAAACGGAUCGAAUUUGAAUCUAAUCUUAAGUAUAGCAAUUAGCAAGUGCAUGACUUGUUUUUAAUUUCUUUAAUUGAUAAAAUCAUUUGAAUGUUGUAUAGCUUUUGCUAAUUGAAUUUGAACUGUAUACUUGUAUAAAAUAUUAUUUAAAAUUAUUUAUUUUUUGUAAUUGAUAAAAUCAUCAAGCUAUCCACUAUCCAGCAUAUGCUGGAUUUUAUAAUAGUAAUUCAAAUUUGGCAGCAGACUAGCAUGUAUCACUUGCUGCAUUUUUUAGAAUUUGGUUUCAAUUGUAUUUGUAACGGGCGGUUUAAAUGCUUGUUACAAAUAACUUGUUAUUCGUAACGACAAUUAAACUGUCCGUUUCGUAACGGACAGUCAAACUGUCCGUUAAGAAUAACGGGUUAUUCGUAACGGGCAGUCAAAGUGCCCGUUACGAAUAUCAUAUCCUAUCCGUAACGGCAACAUACGUAACGCCCGUUGCUGGUUACGGAUAGGCUGCUUUUGCCCGUUACGGAUAGCUAUUUUUCUACUAGUGAGGGAUUGUCUUUAGUUGCCAAAAUUGACCGUGAUUCCUACGAAAGUGAGUCUUAGUGUAUAUUCUCUUUUUAUGUCUUAGUUUUUCAUUUUUGAAUAAGUCUUUCAUCCUUUUUCUCGCUUGCUUGGUUUUGCUCGAGGACGAGCAAAAAUUUAGCUUGGGGGAAUUAGAUGAGUAUCAUUUAUGUUACUCAUUUAUUCUCUUUUAGGGUGGUUUUAGAUUGCUUUUAUAGCUCUUUUCUUUCCUUUUUCCUUUGUUUUGCUCUUUAUUUCUUUAGUUUGCACUUUACUUAGUUGAUUUUCCAUUUUUAUGCAUUUUUUGGUUUAUUUUAUCUUUUUCCCUUUUAUUUGUUUGUUUCCAUUCAUUUUUCAGGUUAAGAUCGUUGUCCAAGGAUUCCCGAGUCUUGCAUUAAUUAGGAUGCCUAGUGUUCUCCAUUUGAAGCUCAAGUUUAGAGAUGUGCAAGUUCCAAUUGACCUUAGGCCGUGCAUUGAAGCCGUGGGGGCACGAAUUCUCGUGUUGAACCCACCGUCGAGGUGAUUUUGGGUUUGCCAUGCUCCGUGUUCAUCAAGCACAUAAAGUGGAGCGCACGAGGAGCAUAAAAAUGAGAGGGAAGGAGGCUGUCCUGUUCCCUUGCGCGGCCGUGUAUCCUGCCCCCCUAUUCCAUACCCAUUUGUGCACGGCCGCACAUCUUCUUGAAGAAGGCAACACCUUUACGGGUCUAUUUUGGACGAUAUAACUAACUUGUCUUUGUUAGUUUUACUAUAUAUUGACUUCUCUUCUAUUUUUAGAGGGAGAAUUGAUUUUUAGAGAUUUUAAGAGAAUUAGAAUUAAAGUUUUAGAGAGAAACACUUGUUCUUAGAUUUAUAGAGAGAGAAUUUGAUGAUUGAUGGUUCUAAGCACAAUUUCCUUUGAUUUCACUAAAGUUUAUAAGGAAAUCUUUUACUUUAAUGCAAUCUUUAGUCUCUUGAUUUCAA